CGUGUAGGCGGGACAGCAAGUCGGAUGUGAAAGCCCUGGGCUCAACCCAGGAAGUGCAUUCGAAACUACUGUUCUUGAGUAUGACAGAGGAGAGCGGAAUUCCCGGUGUAGCGGUGAAAUGCGUAGAUAUCGGGAAGAACACCUGUGGCGAAGGCGGCUCUCUGGGUCACAACUGACGCUGAGGCGCGAAAGCUAGGGGAGCAAACG
RNAcentral lists this ribosomal RNA (207 nucleotides) under uncultured bacterium. RNAcentral describes it as "partial 16S ribosomal RNA". It matches the Rfam family "Bacterial small subunit ribosomal RNA", at positions 568 to 774 of the family's 1533-position model. The record is from RNAcentral.